This 134-nucleotide ribosomal RNA is filed under the name Ponticulomyces kedrovayae. RNAcentral's name for it is "partial 25S ribosomal RNA". The stretch from base 27 to 134 matches the Rfam family "Eukaryotic large subunit ribosomal RNA", at positions 1 to 108 of the family's 3401-position model. The record is from RNAcentral. Lineage: Eukaryota; Fungi; Basidiomycota; Agaricomycetes; Agaricales; Physalacriaceae.
UUAACUGGGACAAAUAACUGAUUAUUUGACCUCAAAUCAGGUAGGACUACCCGCUGAACUUAAGCAUAUCAAUAAGCGGAGGAAAAGAAACUAACAAGGAUUCCCCUAGUAACUGCGAGUGAAGAGGGAAAAGC